Molecule: ribosomal RNA, 638 nt
Filed under: uncultured Bacillota bacterium
Lineage: Bacteria; Bacillati; Bacillota
Description: bacterial SSU rRNA
Rfam family: Bacterial small subunit ribosomal RNA
Source: RNAcentral
GAGAAAUCGGAGCUAAUACCGGAUAAGACCCACAGUAUCCAAGGAUACAGCGGUAAAAGAUUUAUCGCCUUUGGAUGAGUCCACGCCCCAUCAGGUAGUUGGUAAGGUAAAGGCUUACCAAGCCUAAGACGGGUAGCCGGCCUUAGCGGGUGAACGGCCACAUGGGGACUGAGACACGGCCCUGACUCCUACGGGAGGCAGCAGUGGGGAAUAUUGGGCAAUGGGCGAAAGCCUGACCCAGCGAUGCCGCGUGAGGGAUGAAGGCCUUCGGGUUGUAAACCUCUGUCAGGAGGGACGAUGGGACUUUGUCUUGACGGUACCUCCAGAGGAAGCCCCGGCUAACUCCGUGCCAGCAGCCGCGGUAAUACGGAGGGGGCAAGCGUUGCUCGGAAUUACUGGGCGUAAAGGGUCCGCAGGCUGCCAGGCAAGUUGGUUGUGAAAGCUCAAGGCUUAACCUUGGAAUUGCAUCCAAAACUGCCUGACUAGAGUCCAAGAGAGGUUGGCGGAAUUCCCGGUGUAGCGGUGAAAUGCAUAGAUAUCGGGAGGAACACCAGAGGCGAAGGCGGCCAACUGGCUUGGUACUGACGCUCAGGGACGAAAGCGUGGGUAGCAAACCGGAUUAGAUACCCUGGUAGUCA